RNAcentral lists this non-coding RNA (30 nucleotides) under Mus musculus (house mouse). Lineage: Eukaryota; Metazoa; Chordata; Mammalia; Rodentia; Muridae. The record is from RNAcentral.
UCCCAGGAUCUGGAAGUAUAUACACAAAAU